GAUGAAGAACGCAGCGAAAUGCGAUAAGUAAUGUGAAUUGCAGAAUUCAGUGAAUCAUCGAAUCUUUGAACGCAUCUUGCGCUCCUUGGUAUUCUGAGGAGCAUGCCUGUUUGAGUGUCAUUAAAUUCUCAACUACACUGACUUUGAAUUGGUGUGGCUUGGAUUUGGGGGGAAAAUUGUUGUGGGCUUUUUGUAUAGUCUGCUCCCCUGAAAUUGAUUAGCGGUACCUUUGUGGAACUGUCUACAGGUGUGAUAAUUAUCUACAUCUUAGACAUCUGCUGGAAUGCUGCUUUCUAAACCUUACUUGUAUUGACAAUCUUGACCUCAAAUCAGGUAGGACUACCCGCUGAACUUAAGCAUAUCAAUAAGCGGAAGA
RNAcentral lists this unclassified non-coding RNA (376 nucleotides) under soil metagenome. Its description in RNAcentral is "partial contains 5.8S ribosomal RNA, internal transcribed spacer 2, and large subunit ribosomal RNA". The stretch from base 1 to 120 matches the Rfam family "5.8S ribosomal RNA", at positions 35 to 154 of the family's 154-position model. The record is from RNAcentral.